UAAAUUUCCAAGACUAUAGUCUCUCUCAGUGCCAAAAGCGAGACUGUUUCAGAGACUCGGGAUCAGAGACUGAUUAUUUUAUCCUGGGAACUGACGCUUGUAACAUUUUUCAAGUAAUAUAAGUGAACGAUAUUGUAUGAAAGGGCAAUUAUUUCAUCGAUAAGAACAAUUUUUGGCAACAGAAUCAGGAUUCGUGGAUGUUGAUUCUAUUUUAUCAGGGCUGUUACACGUAUGUGGAAAAAAUUACGCCUACCUCGAAAUGAAGCAUCGAAAAAUAUACUACAUAAAGUUUGGGCUAUUUCUCUUUUACCGGUAUAUCGAUUUGACGAAGCAAUUACUAUUAUAACUGUAUACACUGAACAACAGAGUGAACUCAAUCAGCGCAAA
Long non-coding RNA from Chelonus insularis, 387 nucleotides. RefSeq lists it as uncharacterized. The transcript has 3 exons. The record is from RefSeq and is a predicted model, not a curated record. Lineage: Eukaryota; Metazoa; Arthropoda; Insecta; Hymenoptera; Braconidae.